CCUACGGGGGGCUGCAGUGGGGAAUAUUGGGCAAUGGACGCAAGUCUGACCCAGCAACGCCGCGUGAAGGAAGAAGGCUUUCGGGUUGUAAACUUCUUUUAAGGGGGAAGAGCAGAAGAUGGUACCCCUUGAAUAAGCUACGGCGAACUACGCGCCAGCAGCCGCGGUAAUACGUAGGUGGCAAGCGUUGUCCGGACUUACUGGGUGUAAAGGGCGUGCUGCAGGAGAGACAUGGCAGAUGUGAAAUCCACGGGCUCAACCCGUGAACUGCAUUUGAUAAUGUUUCCCUUGAGUGUCAGAGAGGUAAUCGGAAUUCCUUGUGUAGCGGUAAAAUGCGUAGAUAUAAGGAAGAACACCAGUGGCGAAGGCGGAUUACUGGACGAUAACUGACGGUGAGGCGCGAAAGCGUGGGGAGCAAACAGGAUUAGAUACCCCUGUAGUC
RNAcentral lists this ribosomal RNA (442 nucleotides) under uncultured bacterium. RNAcentral's name for it is "partial 16S ribosomal RNA". It matches the Rfam family "Bacterial small subunit ribosomal RNA", at positions 338 to 795 of the family's 1533-position model. The record is from RNAcentral.